Molecule: long non-coding RNA, 2437 nt
Organism: Lolium perenne
Lineage: Eukaryota; Viridiplantae; Streptophyta; Magnoliopsida; Poales; Poaceae
Source: RefSeq, a predicted model, not a curated record
AAAGAGCAAACUUUGCAGGAAAAUUAGAUCUGGACCGUACACCCGAACUCAUCAAACGAUCCAGAUUCGUUCGUUCUCCCCUCCAUCUCUUCCUCACCCACGAGCGCUUAAUUAAACAGAUCCCGCUAAUUGCUCAUCUCCUUCGGUCCUUCCUAUGUCUGGCAGUUUGGUUUUUUGGAUCCCCGCUCUCACAUCUCACGGCUCUCACAUCUUGGCUCCUCCCCUUCGACCUCGCGCCGCUCCAAGCCGAACGCCCUCGCACCCGCCGCUCGCAUUCCCCACAGUCAGCAUGGCUGGGCUUAUGAGUCGCUGCCGCCGGGGGAAAUCGGGCCUGCUACUCCCCAUGGAUUGCUUCCUAAGUUGCCGGGCUACAGGUAUGUCCCUACACCCCAUGGAUUGGAAUCGAUUUCGUUAAUUUUGCAAUUUGGGAUCACGAUUUCAUCAUGCUUUGGUAAGUAAGCCUGGCGGUGGUUUGUGUAUGGCAGUCAAACAGGUUCUACUAAGUACUUUGUUUGUAGAUUAAUUCCCAAGAUCUCUUCACCAGAACACCCAUGCCCAACGUCAAGGCUAAUUUGGCAGCAAUGGUGGUGACUGUAAAAGGAAUUUUAUAUUGAUGAUUUACGGUGUGUUGGAGCGAUGUGGAACAGUCCUAAGUUUGAUUUGGUGCGUGUGUGGUAUACCUCCCUCACAACAAGUGAUUAAUCCUAUUUGAUUUGGUUAUUACGUCUCAUAUCAUAUAGUUGUUUAAGCUUGGUCGUAAGAAGUUGAUUCUAUAUGUAUUGUAUCUCCUCCAUUGCAAUUUGCUUUCUACGUGCUGGUAUUCUCCAACAUUGAGUAUCACAAUGGGGUCGGUCCAGCUCCGAAAAGAAGGCUUAGGUAAAUUAUCUGGCGGUUAAUUAUUUAUACACAGUUGCUCCGAGAGUGAGACUGAUGUAUUUAUCUUUUAGAAUUCUGGUUCCUAAGAUUUCUGAGCGAGAUCCUUCUUUCUGAUUUUCUAGGUUUUCAACAUGUGGAAUAUCAUAUUUAUGGAGUGGAGCUACCAUAAUAUCUAUUAGCAGGAGAGCUUCGUCUGUUCCGGGUGAUGCUGAGGAAGUCAACCUCUGCUGAAACAGUGAUAGUGAUGAGAAAUGGUUUUUUUUUAACAAAGAUGAGAAAUGGUGUAGUUGAGCAUGCCACACACAAGCAUGAUGGUCUCCCCUCGGUUUAUUUUUGUUAAUCCACUUUGAUAACUUCCCGCAAUUGUUGGUUUCAUCAUGUCAAGGGUGUGUAAUAAACUGCCUUUCUUAGCUAGAAAGUUAAAUGUGAUUACUUACAUCAUCAUGGAAUAUCUUUGUGCAUGACUUCCAGUUAUUCUAAGCUUAGAUUUAGCAUUAACCAUAAAAGGAGCAAAUAUCAUACGAGUGUCAACAUAAUUGCCUCUUUGGCUUUCUACGGUUUCAGUUGUUCUUACUUUAUUUCCACCACUCAGGAUCAUAUGGAAGCAACCUUGAAUUGUUUGCAUAUAAACUAAGUUAUUACUUUGCUACGGCUGUUUGCUUUACCACCGCACAUCUCCUCACAUGAUCAGUUAGGCUCUGCCUUGAACCACAUCUGACACCGCCGUCGUUUACUGGAAGGAGCUGCUGGAUACCCUUUUCGCGAGCAGUUAGGGAACACAUUUCCCACCACAUGGUGGUAAUGGCUAUGUACAGUGAUUGUUUCCCGUUGUCGCUGCGCAGAUCAUAUUAGGCACCCGUGACACUUCGCCAUCGAUCAAGGUCGAGUCUGACUGGUGAGUAAUCUCUCUUGCAGUAUCUUGCCUAAAAUCAAUGGUGUUGAUCGGGGUGGCCGUGGUUGCAAGUGCAAACAUGCUGAUCUGGUUGAGGCGUCAUACUCAAUUGAACAGGCCUGACUUUUACAAACAUGAUUCGAGACUUAACUUCUGCAUUCCUACUAUUGAUUGUUUAAAUCAGUUGAUUGAAGACGAUGUUAAUGCAUCCUUAUGUGAGUUGGCAGACUUCUCUAUUUCCACCUUUUGCAGCACCAAGUGGAAGUUUUCAUAAAGAAAUGGUAUCACAUCUGUUACCAUCUCCACGUACAGGUAUUAGUAGAAUUUGUAAUAAAUAAAUAGUUCUUAUCCAUGAGAGAAUAAUUGUGAAACUGGAUACUUGAUUUGAUGAGAGGUUGCCUAACACAAUAUAAACAAUCGAUCUUUUUUUAAUGACCAAACAUGUGUAUGCUUGCAGGAAGUAUUUAUGUGCCUAAAUUUGAAUAAUGGAGCUGCACAACAUGGGCCCUUAUAGUUGAUCGUAAUUUGUAGAUUAGUUUCUUCUAAUGUGUUGAAUGUAAAUUUUAUGACCUCCUGAUUUUUGUUUGACAUUGCAUUGUUUUAAAUUCAACCAAUGUACACCAAACUUCUAACGAAAUUAUACAAGAUGAGGCGUGGUUACCAUUUUCA